Triticum aestivum (bread wheat) is the source of this 1061-nucleotide long non-coding RNA. RefSeq lists it as uncharacterized. NCBI's taxonomy places the organism in Eukaryota, Viridiplantae, Streptophyta, Magnoliopsida, Poales, Poaceae. The transcript has 3 exons. The record is from RefSeq and is a predicted model, not a curated record.
AAAGGAUACAACAACGCCAAUGAUGUAGAGGGUGAUCACCAUCAGGGCUAAGGCGAGAGCUGAGACUACACAUAUGCCCGCGGAUGCAGCGAGGGAGGAGAGCUGGGGUGCCAUGAUCAGCGCUAGCUGCUACUUGCUGAGAGUUUUGGACAGUGUUGUAGAAAAUUGGUAACUUGUUUUCAGAAUAUGUUCAUGGCUUGGGAGAAAAUUCCUAUGCGCUGAUCACUCGCCGAAUAUGAAUUUAUGUCUGCAAAUAGAGUUUGGACAACCACAAUUCAACUUCUCAUUCAUCAAAAAAUUGGUACUGGUAAAUUAUCCGCCGACAUGUUGGGGCAGACUGCAGUGCUGGCAAGUACAGUGCCCAUAAUUCUCUAAAUCUACUAUAGAGCAUUGUGGUAUGUUAUGAAUUAAUUUGCAUUGUUGUACCAGCAAACAGAAGAAAGGACAUCCGGAGAGGUAGUGACAUAGCUGAAUCGGUGGGCAUGGCUUCAGCAAAACUGAAUAUUGCAUCCUAAUUAACUGGAACGGCAACUUGACAGCAACACCUAUAUGACAUAGCUGCUAGAUUUAUCUGCUUGUAUACAUGUGCUAGGCCAACCUUUCUUAUGUGAGAGGGGGAAGAGUUCACCUCUUUGGAGGAUGAGAGUUUAGAGCCCGCAUAAGAAUAUUGUAUGGUACACGAGAUUUUGAAUCCAGAAGAUGCGCUGAGCCGGGUGAAGAUACCGUUCUCUCCCCGCUUUCCUCCUUUUGAACCCUAAUUCAUUUCCCCGCCUCCACCUUUCAGUUUUAUGCGGCAACUGGUUUUGGCGCACUAGUGACUUAAUUCAACCCGAGUUCCAUAUGGAGCUUAGCAGUCUAAGGCAUGAGCUUUGUGUCUGAGGUAUGAGCCACCCGACUUGUUGAUAGAAGCCUCGAAAAAGUGUUUGCAUAUCUCUCCUGUCCUUUCAUUAUGGUAUACUCUCUAUUUUUCUGGUUGUCUCUAAAACAUCUUAUAUUUAUGUACAGAUGGAGUAUCUCUUAUGGGCUCACGUAUAUGCCCGAUAAGAGAAUCAUUAGUUAGA